RNAcentral lists this ribosomal RNA (100 nucleotides) under Paracoccus versutus. RNAcentral describes it as "partial 16S ribosomal RNA". It matches the Rfam family "Bacterial small subunit ribosomal RNA", at positions 1 to 111 of the family's 1533-position model. Lineage: Bacteria; Pseudomonadati; Pseudomonadota; Alphaproteobacteria; Rhodobacterales; Paracoccaceae. The record is from RNAcentral.
UUCAACUUGAGAGUUUGAUCCUGGCUCAGAACGAACGCUGGCGGCAGGCCUAACACAUGCAAGUCGAGCGCGCCUUCGGGUGAGCGGCGGACGGGUGAGU